Molecule: transfer RNA, 74 nt
Filed under: Planctomycetota bacterium
Lineage: Bacteria; Pseudomonadati; Planctomycetota
Description: Planctomycetes bacterium (microbial mat metagenome) tRNA-Arg
Rfam family: tRNA
About the family: Transfer RNA (tRNA) molecules are approximately 80 nucleotides in length. Their secondary structure includes four short double-helical elements and three loops (D, anti-codon, and T loops).
Source: RNAcentral
GCACCCGUAGCUCAAUUGGAUAGAGCGGCUGACUUCGGAUCAGCAGGUUAGGGGUUCGAGUCCCUUCGGGUGUA